This 434-nucleotide ribosomal RNA is filed under the name uncultured bacterium. RNAcentral describes it as "partial 16S ribosomal RNA". It matches the Rfam family "Bacterial small subunit ribosomal RNA", at positions 29 to 507 of the family's 1533-position model. The record is from RNAcentral.
AGCGAACGCUGGCGGCAGGCCUAACACAUGCAAGUCGAACGAACCUUUCGGGGUUAGUGGCGGACGGGUGAGUAACACGUGGGAACGUGCCUUUAGGUUCGGAAUAACUCAGGGAAACUUGUGCUAAUACCGAAUGUGCCCUUCGGGGGAAAGAUUUAUCGCCUUUAGAGCGGCCCGCGUCUGAUUAGCUAGUUGGUUGAGGUAAUGGCUCACCAAGGCGACGAUCAGUAGCUGGUCUGAGAGGAUGAUCAGCCACAUUGGGACUGAGACACGGCCCAAAAUCCUACGGGAGGGAGCAGUGGGGAAUCUUGCGCAAUAGGCGAAAGCCUGACGCAGCCAUGCCGCGUGAAUGAUGAAGGUCUUAGGAUUGUAAAAUUCUUUCACCGGGGACGAUAAUGACGGUACCCGGAGAAGAAGCCCCGGCUAACUUCGUG